CCGGGGAAGGCGGGCAGAGGGCCUGCGGGUUGGGGGGGGAGGCGGCCGAGGGCAGAAGAAAAGCCGACGCGGUCGCCCCAUCCCGACCUUCUAAAGGGUUUCUGCUGGAGACCGCGCCCUGUGGAGAAGAGGGGACCCGCACGCCACCUAGGAACAAAAGAUGAGGCAAGGCGGGAGCAAGCAAGAAUUUCUCAAUUAAGUGACUCACAAAUUAACAAAUAAUGAGAAACCAGUCUGAGUUUCCAAUGAACCACAUUCUGUUUUCUGGGUUGGCUAAACACUGUGAUUCCAUACAGGACUGGAAGGCCAGGUCAUCUCUUCGGCAGGAACCAGGUGGGUGUACUAAAUGGAUACAUCCUGUUUAAAACGAAUGUGCCAAAUGCCACAAAGCCACCAUCUAAUCAGCAGAUUAGAAAGAUCUUGUCUGAGAAAUACUGGGUGAGAGACUGUGAUGCAACCCACAUCGCUACCCAGCUCACCCUGUGUUUUAAAGUGAGUUCCUCACCAUGAACUUGGGAAUAAACUGACACUUGGCUGUCCCCAAGGUUGUGUGGCGCAUACAGACAUACACAACUUGCAAACUAAAAUCUGCCGGUGUACAAGUCAAAACAGGGAUUCUGCACUACCCCAGCCUGAUUGGUAAGGACCAGAAAAUGCUGCUGUGCCCCCUUUCUCAUGUCAUUGAUAUGCCCUUUGGAGAAAAGAGACUCAGAAGCAAAGCUUAAUGAUUUUACCACACAUGUUUUGACAUGCCCUUAUCUUUCAGUAGAAACUAUAUGUGGUUCCUGGGGGAAGCAUGUGGCUCUGUUAUGACAAGUUUUACUGUAUUUGUUGCAUGGUAUAAAAUAGUAUCACGUCUGCAGCUAUGUUAUCAGUACAUGAUGCAAAGUAGUAAAAACCCUAGUUAGUCCAAACAACAACAACAACAACAACAACAAACCAGACAGAGGUAUCAUAAUGAAUCCUCUUAGAAGCUGCAGACCCAAACCAGUCUUGCAAAGAACCCCUUAAACUGAAAUAUAUCCUGAAACUCUCUUUUCUUCUACUACUCUAGAAUAGUACCAAGCUUCUAGAAACAGGAAAGAGUGUCAUUUACCAGCGUCUCUUUGAAUGUUACUUACUAUAUGAAAGUUAUUUAUGUCAUUUACUAUAUGAAAAAAAGUGUUGUUUUAAUUGACUGCCUUUCCAUUGUAUUAUAGUUUUGCAUUUUGGUUGGCAUAACCAUUCCUGAUGUAUAUUCACCGAAACGAAAGUUUGGUUCCAUUAUGGAACAGAAAAUCGUAACUAUCUAAUAUUUCACUUGAAAGCAAGUGGGGAUAUAAAUUGUAAUUAAAAUAAAAAAUCACUUCAGAAUUCAACAAACCCUUCAUUUAUCACUUUCCAAUAAACAUGAAUACUAAGUGAUGCUAAAUCUUGUGAAAAAUGUAGCAGGUUUCCUUUUGCUUUAAGCUUUACUGAGCUAGUGGCCAACUGCAGCCUCUCAUUUCAUAGGGCAAAGCUCUAGUUCUUUCUCACACACUGAUCCUUCUCAACCCAAAGCCUUAAGUCCUCAGUGCUCCUAGGGAACCGAGCUAAUUCAAGUCACUAGCACUUACUUAUUCAGAAGUAAAACUUGAUCUCUGGUGUCCACGCCCAGGUUGUAUAAUUUUUAAUUGCACAUUUUGGCAGUAAUUCCUGGUCAGAUCUGAUCUUGGCCUAGUUAGUUGUCCACUUGAGCAUACAUAUUAUUAGCAAAUAAUUUAAAGUUACAAAGUUUCAUUUCUGAAUAUGCAUUUGUGACUUGGAUUCAGAACUAAAGAGAAAUCUUAAAAUCCUAGAGUUUGGAGGAAUUAUAGAGGUCUUCUACUUCAACUAAAGCCUAUUAAGUUUCUCUCAAUACAAAUAAAACCAGUCUCUACUUAAAUCCUUCUGGUGAAAGAGGCCUCACUUCCUCCCCAAGAAGCCCUUUCUAUGUUCUAAUAGUUCUGAUUGGGAGGAAGCCAUAAUCUCUAUUGUGCUGAAAUCUGCUUCCAGUCAUUUCUAGCUAUUGGUCAUAGCUUGACGCUCUGAAAUAACAGAAUUCUUGCUCACUUAUUCUUCCAUAGGUUUAUAAGGCCUAUAAGUAUUUGAUGAUGAUAUUUCAUCUGUAUACCCAAAUGUAUUAUAUAUAAAAGACCUGAGAGAACUAUAAAUAAAUCUCUUUAAGUAUGUAUGUAUGUGUAUGUAUAUGAGUGCAUGUAUAUAUAUAUAGAGAGAGA
Mirounga angustirostris (Northern elephant seal) is the source of this 2237-nucleotide long non-coding RNA. RefSeq lists it as uncharacterized. The transcript is spliced from 3 exons. NCBI's taxonomy places the organism in Eukaryota, Metazoa, Chordata, Mammalia, Carnivora, Phocidae. The record is from RefSeq and is a predicted model, not a curated record.